AUAUCCAUGACAACCAAACACCACUGGGUGAGAACAGAUCUCACAAUCUGGGUGUCUCCAUGCUGUAGGAACUUGAAGGGAAAAUGACUAAGGAAACUUGAUCAAGGAAGACUUCAUGGAAGAGAGACACAGUACACCACCACAGAGGAAAUAGAUGUAGAAAGCAAGUACCCUGCUGCAAGGUGCGAUCCAGUAGCCAAUGGCCAGGAAUGGAAGGCCCAGGGCCACGACCAGUACAACGAGACACUUGAUAGCUAUGGUCUGCUCCCUUAGGCCUGAGAGGUUCUCAUACCAGAUCGUCAAGAGCUGCUGCUGGCAGUUGGGAUGAGCCACAAACUAUUGGGAGAGAGAGAGUUUGAGAAGGGGAGAGAAAGGGCCCUGGAUGUUUUCCUUACAAAUUUGUUUGAGUUCUUGGGAUAUUAAGAAGAUCAAUCUUUUGUGAGUUACAAUCGAAAAAACAUUUUUCCUAGUAUGCCCUUCACUUUUUUGUUUAUAAUCUUUCUGAUGUCAUACAGAGGUUUUAAAUUAUAUGUGGCCAGAUUAUUUGCAUUUUUGCUUGGAGAUUUCUUCGCUUUUAUAUGAGAAAGUCCUUUCCAACAUAAACAUUAAAUUCAUGGUCAUGUAUCUCCUA
Molecule: long non-coding RNA, 631 nt
Organism: Gorilla gorilla gorilla (western lowland gorilla)
Lineage: Eukaryota; Metazoa; Chordata; Mammalia; Primates; Hominidae
Exons: 3
Source: RefSeq, a predicted model, not a curated record